CUGGCGGCGUGCCUAACACAUGCAAGUCAAACGGAACGAAAAGAGCUUGCUCUUGGCGUUUAGUGGCGGACGGGUGAGUAACACGUGAGUAACCUGCCUUUCAGAGGGGAAUAAUGUUUGGAAACGGACACUAAUACCGCAUAAUAUACAAUCAACGCAUGUUGAAUGUAUCAAAGGAGCAAUCCGCUGAAAGAUGGACUCGCGUCUGAUUAGCCAGUUGGCGGGGUAACGGCCCACCAAAGCGACGAUCAGUAGCCGGACUGAGAGGUUGAACGGCCACAUUGGGACUGAGACACGGCCCAGACUCCUACGGGAGGCAGCAGUGGGGGAUAUUGCACAAUGGGCGCAAGCCUGAUGCAGCAAACCGCCGCGUGCAGGAAGACGGUCUUCGGAUUGUAAACUGUUGUCCUCUGUGACGAUAAUGACGGUAGCAGAGGAGGAAGCCACGGCUAACUACGUGCCAGCCGCUGC
RNAcentral lists this ribosomal RNA (471 nucleotides) under uncultured bacterium. RNAcentral's name for it is "bacterial SSU rRNA". It matches the Rfam family "Bacterial small subunit ribosomal RNA", at positions 36 to 518 of the family's 1533-position model. The record is from RNAcentral.